CCCAGGAGGAAGGGAUUGGGGCGGGGGGAGCCAUCCCCAGCUGCCUUUGUUCUCCGGGAUAAGCGCUCCCACGUCCCCCUCCCGGGCGGGGCCCGGCAGAUACCCCCGCCCCGCCCCGCGGUGCCCCGCAUCAGCCGCCUCCUCCCGCCCGCGCGGUGGCUGUGCUGGGGUCCCGGCGACCCUGCUCAGGGCCACCGAAGGUUCUGGGGGCUCGGGCGCGGGGGGUGGGGGUGGGAUUCGCAGUCCGAGCCCGUGGGAGCCUCCCCAACCCCUCAGUCCCAGCAGCAAACUGCGCUUGGUCGGACGGAUGCCCGUGCGAGGUCCGCCAGCAGAGGGCGCCCUGGGAGAGGAAAGGAGCGGGUUUGAAUGGCUUUCCUGGGUCCCUGGCGCCACACUGUGGGGCUCGAUGAUUCACAGCCACACCUGUCAUCACUGUAUCCCAAACUGGCAGUCUCUUGGACAAAGCUACCGAAGCAGGCCUGAAGAGACUGAAGAAGGAGAAUUGUGAAUUUAAGGCCACCCUGGACUACACAGUGAGUCCCAGGCUAGCCUGGGCUACAGUCUGAGACCCCAUUGAAAGUGGAGAAGGAAGGAGAAAAACACUGUGUUUACUUAUGGAAGGGUACAUAUGCCUGUAUAUUGUAUGAAGAUGUAUUCGUGCUUAUGAAAGUGUGCAUAUGUUGAAUGCUAUGUGUAAAGGGUGUAGAAUAAUAAAG
RNAcentral lists this long non-coding RNA (716 nucleotides) under Cricetulus griseus (Chinese hamster). RNAcentral's name for it is "lncRNA (ENSCGRG00015036005.1)". The record is from RNAcentral. Lineage: Eukaryota; Metazoa; Chordata; Mammalia; Rodentia; Cricetidae.